UGAACGCUGGCGGCAUGCCUUACACAUGCAAGUCGAACGGCAGCACGGGUGCUUGCACCUGGUGGCGAGUGGCGAACGGGUGAGUAAUACAUCGGAACAUGUCCUGUAGUGGGGGAUAGCCCGGCGAAAGCCGGAUUAAUACCGCAUACGAUCUACGGAUGAAAGCGGGGGACCUUCGGGCCUCGCGCUAUAGGGUUGGCCGAUGGCUGAUUAGCUAGUUGGUGGGGUAAAGGCCUACCAAGGCGACGAUCAGUAGCUGGUCUGAGAGGACGACCAGCCACACUGGGACUGAGACACGGCCCAGACUCCUACGGGAGGCAGCAGUGGGGAAUUUUGGACAAUGGGCGAAAGCCUGAUCCAGCAAUGCCGCGUGUGUGAAGAAGGCCUUCGGGUUGUAAAGCACUUUUGUCCGGAAAGAAAUCCUUGGCUCUAAUACAGUCGGGGGAUGACGGUACCGGAAGAAUAAGCACCGGCUAACUACGUGCCAGCAGCCGCGGUAAUACGUAGGGUGCGAGCGUUAAUCGGAAUUACUGGGCGUAAAGCGUGCGCAGGCGGUUUGCUAAGACCGAUGUGAAAUCCCCGGGCUCAACCUGGGAACUGCAUUGGUGACUGGCAGGCUAGAGUAUGGCAGAGGGGGGUAGAAUUCCACGUGUAGCAGUGAAAUGCGUAGAGAUGUGGAGGAAUACCGAUGGCGAAGGCAGCCCCCUGGGCCAAUACUGACGCUCAUGCACGAAAGCGUGGGGAGCAAACAGGAUUAGAUACCCUGGUAGUCCACGCCCUAAACGAUGUCAACUAGUUGUUGGGGAUUCAUUUCCUUAGUAACGUAGCUAACGCGUGAAGUUGACCGCCUGGGGAGUACGGUCGCAAGAUUAAAACUCAAAGGAAUUGACGGGGACCCGCACAAGCGGUGGAUGAUGUGGAUUAAUUCGAUGCAACGCGAAAAACCUUACCUACCCUUGACAUGGUCGGAAUCCCGCUGAGAGGUGGGAGUGCUCGAAAGAGAACCGGCGCACAGGUGCUGCAUGGCUGUCGUCAGCUCGUGUCGUGAGAUGUUGGGUUAAGUCCCGCAACGAGCGCAACCCUUGUCCUUAGUUGCUACGCAAGAGCACUCUAAGGAGACUGCCGGUGACAAACCGGAGGAAGGUGGGGAUGACGUCAAGUCCUCAUGACCCUUAUGGGUAGGGCUUCACACGUCAUACAAUGGUCGGAACAGAGGGUUGCCAACCCGCGAGGGGGAGCUAAUCCCAGAAAACCGAUCGUAGUCCGGAUUGCACUCUGCAACUCGAGUGCAUGAAGCUGGAAUCGCUAGUAAUCGCGGAUCAGCAUGCCGCGGUGAAUACGUUGCCGGGUCUUGUACACACCGCCC
This 1366-nucleotide ribosomal RNA is filed under the name uncultured beta proteobacterium. Its description in RNAcentral is "16S ribosomal RNA". It matches the Rfam family "Bacterial small subunit ribosomal RNA", at positions 30 to 1395 of the family's 1533-position model. Lineage: Bacteria; Pseudomonadati; Pseudomonadota; Betaproteobacteria. The record is from RNAcentral.